AGCAUUCGCACUUGUGAUACCUCCAGCAAGCUUCUCAACUCACCUUCACAGGCUUACACAACGCUCCUCUACCGCUCAUCUUACGAUGAACCCGUAGCUUCGGUACCCUGGUUUGAGCCCCGUUACAUCUUCCGCGCAGGCGGUCUCUUAAGUCUGAUGUGAAAGCCCACGGCUCAACCGUGGAGGGCCAUUGGAAACUGGGGGACUUGAGUGUAGGAGAGGAAAGUGGAAUUCCACGUGUAGCGGUGAAAUGCGUAGAUAUGUGGAGGAACACCAGUGGCGAAGGCGACUUUCUGGCCUAUAACUGACGCUGAGGCGCGAAAGCGUGGGGAGCAAACAGGAUUAGAUACCCUGGUAGUCCACGCUGUAAACGAUGAGUGCUAGGUGUUAGGGGUUUCGAUACCCUUAGUGCCGAAGUUAACACAUUAAGCACUCCGCCUGGGGAGUACGGCCGCAAGGCUGAAACUCAAAGGAAUUGACGGGGGCCCGCACAAGCAGUGGAGCAUGUGGUUUAAUUCGAAGCAA
This 525-nucleotide ribosomal RNA is filed under the name uncultured Bacillus sp. RNAcentral describes it as "bacterial SSU rRNA". The stretch from base 83 to 525 matches the Rfam family "Bacterial small subunit ribosomal RNA", at positions 1 to 959 of the family's 1533-position model. The record is from RNAcentral. Lineage: Bacteria; Bacillati; Bacillota; Bacilli; Caryophanales; Bacillaceae.